This is a long non-coding RNA of Dromaius novaehollandiae (emu), 1460 nucleotides long. RefSeq lists it as uncharacterized. Lineage: Eukaryota; Metazoa; Chordata; Aves; Casuariiformes; Dromaiidae. The transcript is spliced from 7 exons. The record is from RefSeq and is a predicted model, not a curated record.
GGUGCCUGGGCUUGGCUGAGCUGUCCCUGGGUUUCAGAGGAAGAAGCCCCAGCUCUCGCCAGGAGUGCAACUACCUCAUGCAGCACUGCAGCAGAUUCCCCGUUCAGCCAGUGCAAUGUUCCUUCUCGGCCAGGGAUGAUUCCCAAAUGUUUUGACAAAGAAAGCUCUUCUGUAAUGCAGCUGAAACCUGCAGGGCCUGAAAACACUGAAAAUACGUAAAUCUGCGGACACACUGUGGAAAAUGAGGAGCCCAAGUGGUCUGUGCACAAACUAAGAAAGAGGAUUUGUGAUUCCUCUGCAACCCAGGAAGGUUUGAAGGGCCAGAACCAACUGCAAGAAGACCGACUCUUUAAAGACAUGCCAAAAGCAACACCCCUUGUUGGAUCCCACUCCACCUCUGCAUGGUGGCUGGUUUUACUGCUCGUGAGCAGCAGCAACGAAGACAAGCAGCUGAUACAGAAGCAGUGCUGCACACUACGCUGCAGUCAGACGCGCAUGCCGGGCACGCUGCUGCUUCAGCUGCAAUUGCGCAGAGGCAGACAAAGCUUUGGAGACCUCAUCCAGCUGGGACACGGUGCAUAAUUUAACGCUCUGGUUUUGCGCUCCCACCGCUGGACCCUCGCUGCACACUUACCUCCCAUUUGCUCCAGUCGGAACGAGAGAGUUUCUUGCUCCUCGGAGGCAGGUUUGUCUCGCAGUUGUUUAGCAGGAUAAGGGCUGUGCUAUCGUUUUACAGACAACCCCACCCCCCACAGAAGAACAAGGAUGCCUCCUUGACAGUGAUGACUCAGCCUAAAAAUGUUACUGAAGAGGAAACCCUUCAUCCUUUUGUAUUUUAGCUACCAUACUGGAUGGAGCUCAAGCAUGGGUAACGAGGAAGCCAACAGUCUUGCUACAGGGAGGAUCAAGGCACCUGCAGCAACAAAAAGGGACUGGGGAAGAAAAGUUUCUGCAUAAGAAAUGUUUUCUGCAUAAGGCAAUGGGAGGGAUGAAGAUAGAGAAGAAUGAAUUCUGUCCAUACUCCAAGCUGAUGGGACACUGGGAGACCAUGUUAAACGUAGCAUUGAGCUUCACCUAACAAGCCCCGCUGGAAGGCUACAUAAAAGGUGAGUGUGGCAGGCCUGCAUCCGCUCACAGAAAACAUCCUCUAUACACGGCCGAAGGUGAGAUUCUUGUGAGCAGAAGGCCAGCUGGUGAAGCUCAACCACCCAGCUGCUUGCUCUGAGAACGCAACCAGGUGAUUCAACUUCUCUAACUUUCAAUUCUCUGUCUCUAAAGUGGAGACAAUUCCUACCUAAGAACUUAUGCUGUAAGGCUGCCUUCCGCCUAAUGCAGAUCUGUUUAAAGCCUGCUAACACAGGGCUCACCGCUUGGUCAGAGUUAGUAGGUGUUGCAGCUGGACAAGAGCAGCACUCAGCCCAGGGCAGCUUACUGACAGGCACACACAGUUGUCACACUCC